Molecule: long non-coding RNA, 7988 nt
Filed under: Zea mays
Lineage: Eukaryota; Viridiplantae; Streptophyta; Magnoliopsida; Poales; Poaceae
Description: long non-coding RNA (ZMAY_LNC001207)
Source: RNAcentral
GGGCUGGCUUCCCCCGCGGUGGAGCUCGCCCGCGAGCGGCAAUUCUGCCGCCACCGAGCACUAACCCAAAAUUAAACUGGUGAUGCGCGAUGAGCGAUGAAUAGAGAACAUCCUGGAAGACGAAUUACCUUUGGGGGUGAGGUAGGGACCCUGGCCCACGGCGCACCGAAGCUCCGCCGUGGUGGUCGGCCGCCCAUGGUGAAUUCCGGUCUUCCCAAGUGGCAGCCGCAGAAUUGGUGGUCUCCCUAGCUUCGAUUCGACCCGGCGAACAUCAGGGAGGUUCUCCACUAGCGAUCCAUGGCACCAGAACUUGUCCACGGCACCGGUGGUGAACGGGAAGGAGGAGGGAAGGAGCAGUAAGCACGAGCGGGUCGUGGGAGGGGGAUUCAGCGAGGUGCGGCUGGAGGAGUAGUCGUGAGGCGAUUGCGUGGCGGCGCGGUAGCUUCGGCCAUGGGCUAGAAGGUGGCGGCCAUUCUCUCUCUCUCUCUGCUACUUGCAACAAGCACACGGUGCUUCACUGGCGUGGCUUAAGGUUGGCUAUCGGUGUGGCUCAGGGAUGUGAGGUGCGCGCAUAAGUAUCCAGUGGUCAGGGAAGAAUUGGUCCCCCGCAUGCCUCGGCGGGGAGCAACGACCGAUGCGCAAAAUCCGGCCAGCGACCCGGUAACAGAGUCUGAGCAGCGGCGAAUCUGUUGGGUGAAGAAGAUGCGGGCGAGAUGAUGAGGGGUCCACCAGGCAGCGAUUCGAGCGAGUAGUACUGGCCGACCGGUGGGGCUAGUUCGACAGCGCGCCCACGAUGAGAAGAGCCAAGCGUGAGUGCGGGCGUAUUGGUGGGCCGCGCGGGAUUAGGUUUAGUGGGCCGGUUGAGAAUAGGCCCAAGCGUUGGGCAAGGUUAUUUCUCUUUUAUAUUUUCUGUUUCUUCUCUUCUUUUUUUUAUUUCAAAUUCAAAUCAGUCCCAAGUUUAAAAUUCCAGUUUUUUUUGUGGCAACUCUAUCUUCUAAUCAAAUGUUCAAUUUGAACAUGAUAUGAACUUUAUAGGUUUUUAUUUUGUAUUUUAUGGUAAUUCUCUCUUUCUAUAUCAUUUCUCAUUUCCAAACUUUCAAGUUAGUCUUCGUAUUUCUAUUUUGUUUAUUAUUUUAUUCAUAUUGUUGUGACUACUAUUAAGGGCAUAAACAAUUAAAAGCCAACAUAAUGCACGAUUUAGUGAUAUGUCUUUUUAUUAAUUAUUUAUUUUUAAGUGAGGUGUUCACAUGUGAUGACAAAUGGAUGCGAUACACACAUAUAAAUAAAGGAAAACACUUUUCUCCUUUUAAUACAAUCUCUUACAAAUUAGGUGUUACAAAUCCUACCCCCUUAAAAAUAAUCUCGUCCUCGAGAUUAAGAAGGUCUAGGGAAAAGGUGGGGAAAAUCUAUGCGAAGCUCUUCUUCUCUUUACCAAGUUGCUUCAUCUUCACCGUGGCGGCUCCAUUGCACUUUGCACAUCUUUAUAACCUUAUUCCUCGUGACUCGAGUCAAAGUAUCCAAAAUCUUGAUGGGGUACUCAGUAUAAGUUAGAUCCUCUUGAACACUAAGGUCCUCCAUUGGUAAUUGUUCCUCAGGUACCCUGAGACAUUUCUUCAGCUGAGAUACAUGGAAUACAUCAUGAACAUCCGCGAGAUGAUCCGGUAACUCCAAUUGAUAUGCAACCUCUCCCACUCGCUUUAAGAUUAAGAAGGGUCCAAUGAAGCAAGGGGACAACUUUCCUUUGACAAAUCUUUUCAUACCCUGGAGUGCUGACACCUUCAAAUAAACAUAAUCUCCCUCCUUAAACUCAAGCAGUCUUCUCCGGGUAUCAGCAUAGCUUUUCUGUCUUGACUGCGCAGUUCUCAAAUUCUCCCUUAUUUGCUGGACUUGUUCUUCUGCUUCUUGUAUAAUCUCAGGCCAAAACAACUGCCUUUCACCAGUUUGAUCCCAAUACAGUGGAGUCCUGCACUUUCUGCCAAACAAAGCUUCAAACGGUGACAUCUUCAAACUGGCCUGAUAGCUAUUAUUAUAGGAGAACUCUGCAUACGACAAACUCUUAUCCCAUCUUCCACCAUGUUUAAGAGCACAAGCUCUUAACAUAUCCUCUAGCACUUGGUUGGUCCUCUCAGUCUGCCCAUCAGUCUGUGGAUGGUAAGCUGAACUAAAAUUCAAUCUUGUAUCCAAAGACUCGUGCAACUUCUUCCAAUACCGGGAGGUAAACUGUGAUCCUCGAUCUGACACAAUCUUCUUUGGCACACCGUGCAAGCAGACAAUCCGUGCCAUGUACAACUCUGCCAACUUGGGUCCUGAAUACGUGGUCUUUACUGGAAUAAAGUGGGCCACUUUAGUUAGCCUGUCCACAAUCACCCAUAUCGAAUCAUACCUAGCAGAUGUGCGGGGUAAUCCAACAAUGAAGUCCAUGCCAAUCUCUUCCCAUUUCCACUCAGGUAUCUUCAGUGGAUGCAGUAGUCCGGCUAGCCUCUGGUGUUCAGCCUUAACUCUUUGGCAUACAUCGCACAUAGCCACAUGUGCAGCCACAUCUCUCUUCAAACCAUACCACCAAUACUUUUGCUUCAAAUCCUGAUACAUCUUAGUACUUCCAGGAUGGAUAGAAUAAAUUGAGUCAUGUGCUUCCUUCAAUAUAGUUUCCCGAAGACUAUCAAUAUCGGGAACACAGAUCCGAUUCUUGAACCAUAUCGUGCCUUGCUCAUCCUCUGUGAAUUCCGGGCCUCUACCUUCUGUUAUCAGAUCCUUGAUCUCCUGGAUCUUUGCAUCACCAAUUUGUCCUUUGCGGAUUUCUUGCUCCAAGGUAGAUUCCAAUUCAAUGGUAACUCCUUCCGUAUGUGUAACAAUUCCUAGGUUGAGCCUCUCAAAAUCUUUUGCUAAUUCAUCAGGUAGUUGGACAACGAAAGCAGAGUGAACAUGCUCCAUACGACUCAAGGCAUCUGCAACCAAAUUCGCCUUGCCUGGGUGAUAGUGAAUCUCCAAAUCAUAAUCCUUAAUGAGCUCCAACCAACGGCGUUGCCUAAGGUUGAGAUCCUUCUGAGUGAAUAUGUACUUCAAACUCUUAUGAUCCGUGUAUACUUGGCACUUAGUUCCCAUGAUGUAGUGUCUCCAAAUCCUAAGUGCAUGCACAACUGCAGCCAAUUCCAAGUCAUGAGUGGGGUAGUUCAAUUCAUGCUUCCGCAACUAACGAGAUGCAAAGGCAAUCACAUGUCCUUCUUGCAUGAGCACACAUCCAAGUCUUUGGCCACAUGCAUCACAAUAAAUGUCAAUUCCCUUUUGUAGAUCUGGCAUAACCAAUACCGGUGGCGACAUUAGUCUCUCUUUCAAUUGAUCAAAGCUUUCUUGGCACUUCUCAUCCCACUUGAAUUCUCUUCCUUUCUCCAAAAGCGAUGCCAUAGGCUUGGCAAUUCUAGAGAACCCUUCAAUAAAUCUCCGAUAAUAUCCUGCGAGUCCCAAGAAACUCCAAAUCUCAGUAACUGUAGUGGGUACUCUCCACUCCAUUAUCUCCUUAACUUUAGCAGGAUCCACUGAUAUUCCUCCAUUAGAAAUAAUAUGACCAAGAAAUGGCACCUCGCCAAUCCAAAACUCGCACUUGCUGAACUUGGCAUAUAGCUGGUUAUCUCGUAGCUUCUGCAGCACCAAUCUCAGAUGUUCCUCACGAUCGCUAUCACUCUGAGAAUAAAUAAGAAUAUCGUCGAUGAAUACCACGACGAAUCUGUCCAAAUACUCCAUAAUCACCUUAUUCAUCAAGUUCAUAAAAUAAGCUGGUGCAUUGGUUAAUCCAAAUGACAUAACAGUAAACUCGUAUAAUCCAUAUCGGGUCGAGAAAGCCGUCUUAGGAAUAUAUGAUGGUCUAAUCUUCAUCUGAUGGUAUCCCGAUCGGAGAUCAAUCUUCGAGAAUAUCCUAGCACCUCUCCUCUGAUCAAAUAAAUCCUCAACGCGGUGCAACGAAUACUUGUUCUUCAUGAUAUAACCUCAUUAAGGGACCUAUACUCCACACACAUCCUUUGCGAUCUAUCCUUCUUUUGUACAAACAGUACCGGUGCUCCCCAAGGUGAGGAACUCAAACGUAAGUAACCAGCCUCUUGUAAUUCCGUUAACUGCUUCUUCAGUCCCUUUAACUCUUCUACAGACCUCCUGUAUGGCUGUUUGAAAGUAGGGGCAGUCCCAGGUAAGAGAUCAAUGACAAACUCAACUUUCGUAUCUGGUGGCAUCACUGGUAACUCCUCUUGAAAGACAUCCGGAAAAUCCUUAACCAAACGGAUGUUGUCACCAACAAACUUCCCAUCGACUAAGAAUGCUGCUAGUUUGGUGGCGGUAGUUACUGCAAUUCCAACUUCAAAUCUUUCUCCUUUGGAACUGGUGAGUUCUAUGGUUUCUUUAGCACAGUGUAUAAACUGCCUUUACCUUUCUUAACCACGACAUACCAAGGAUCACGUCUAUAGUGCUCUCUUCUAACACUAUAGGGGUAGUUCAUCUAGGUUAGAAAUACAGGGUAAGAAAGGAAGAAUUGUAGACAAGGCGAGUAAUUACGAGAAAUGUUAUUGCGGGGGAUUUAUUAGUUAAGUAGAUUAGUGUGUCACCCACUGAAACUAAUACAUUACCUUAUAGUGGUACAUGCUAAGAUGCCCAACUAUAAUGUUUCAAUCAAUCAAAGAAGCAAAUCAAGCAUUUAUCAUCAGAACAAUCAAACAACAUUUUUUUAUAAAGAAAAUAGUUUUAAAUUUUGUCUUAGGUUCCCUAUCUCUUAAAAAGAUCAUAGUGGUAGGAUUCCAAUGUGUGAAAUCCAUCUUGUCUUAGAGUAGAAAAGGUAAGAAUGAUCAGAAUAAGAUAAGUAGGUAAGGGUUGUCCAUUUCUAUCUAGGUUUCGUCCUACAGUCAACAUUUCCUCUGAUACCACUUCUGUAACACCCGGUUUUAAAGGACAAAGCCGGGUGCAUCUCAUACAUGCGCCAAGAAGACAACAUAUAUAAUAACAGAGUGUAUAGAGACAAAUGUCAUAAAACAUCAGAGUAAUUAUUACAUAGCGGAAGACUUAUUACAAAAUAAAGGAAUAAAUGUAAAACGAACUAAGGAUCGUCGGCGCAGAUGUCAACUGAGAAACGCCACCUAGAUCAGAUCAUACUCCUCGCCUUGUGGCUCCUCCUGAACUACCUGCUCUUCUCCUGUGGGGGGGUGUGAGACAGCAAGAGUGAGCUCACAUACGUUCAUCGCUCAACAAGUUGUGGGGAAUAAUGUGGCAUAAACUCACCAAAGGUGGGAGUUCAUGAAGUGUAAGGCUGAUCAAUGAAAUAAAGGCUGAGGCUGAGCAUUGCUUUUAUAAGUUGGUCAAAAUUUUAUUAGCAAUUACUAAGUGUAAGUAAAUAUCAAACCUUAAUAAUAAUAAAGAAAAGUAAUAGUAAAAUAAUCCCAAAUGCGAUGUAAAUGUCAAAUUGAAUUUAAGUUCCAUAAAUUAAUCAUGUGAGGGUCCGAGCCGCUCAUGACCGUGAGCACGGCUAGUAUACCAGUUUUACACUCUGCAGAGGUUGCGCAUCUUUACCCACAAGUCAUGUUACCCGUCCGCCAAGAGAUGACCAAUCCCAUACACCUCUACCGAGGAGGCGAGGCAGGGUAACACUACGAGGCCUUUACAAAGUUCCACUAGCUUCAGAAAUCCCGCUACAGUUUAUAGGAAGCUCCAAUGCAGGGUUCUUGCCUGACCGCCAUCGCAGCAAAAUCAACCAAGGACCUCCCUACACUGACCACUCCCCUACUGCCCUUGCCCCUUUCGGGUAAGGAAGACCUCCACUAGCUUUCCUAGUUAAUCAGCCAAGGGCGUCCCAUUAUACCCUUGUGGUAGCACUGUUUUCCCGGGUGGUCGCUCCAUGUUCCCAUUAACAUAAUGAUCUUAACAUGAACAGUAAUAAUAAAAGAGAAUAAAAGAGUAAUUAUGAAUAAAGUAUCUUCAUACCCAAAUCCACAUAAAGCAAUAGCAAGUACUACCCAAAGAAAUAUUUCAGUGGUAAACAAGGUAUAAAGAUAGCCAAAACUAGGGUAACCUAUUGGGUCCCAUCAAAAUUAUCCUAUGCAGAUCAUUAUAAUUAAUAAGAACAUGGCUGGGAAAAAGUAAGUGAUCAAGGGCACAACUUGCCUUCAAUGAGCUCCUGCUCAGCUAUCUCUACUUGCUUAACCUCAGAUUCCACAGUGGCUUGCUCGUCUACUCGCAUCAACACAAUACAUACAUAGUAUAGCAUAAAUUAACAUCACAUCAAGCAUGCAAAUAAAAUAUACAGUAAAAAUCUAUACAUUAAAAUGAGAUCAUAGGAACUGGAAUCAUUAAAUUUGGAGUUAUAGAUUUCAAGUUAUGAAUUUUCUAAGAUUUAAUGUGCUUGAAAUGGGAUUAAAUGAGAAAUUAAUUUUCUUACUAUUUUCAUGUCAAAACAGAGUCACUAAAUGAUAGAGAAUAAUAUUACAAAAUUGUAGAAAUUGGAAUGGUUCAAUUUGGAGCUAAAAUGAAUUUUCUAUGCAUUUUACAAGUUUCUAGAUUUGUUUUUGUAUUAAAAACGAAUUUCUAAUAUUAUUUCUCUAUUUUUAAUCCACACUGGACUGGGCCUCAAUUUCUGGAUAGGUCAGGGGGCUCUUGCGUAAGAUUACCGAGACACAGUGAAUAGUACCCGAGGACCGCGGGUUGAUUUUAAAGUUUGACGAGGUCUCUUUAACAAAAUAUACCCGCGAAGGGGUACGAGGGCAUCUAAGCCGCACGAUCUAAAAUGGACGCACGAGAUUAGAUCUGAGUUUAACGAAGCGGUAUGCGAUUCCCGGCCACCCGAUCCGAGAUGGACGCGCCAGAUCUAAUCGUGGCGAAAGGGUACCAACAUCUAAUCCCGGCCGCAUAAUAAGGAUCCAACGGCGCAUAACGAAUCGGUCAUGAUCUAAUCUCAUCCGCUGGAAACCGAUCCAACGGCACAAGAUGUUUACCCCCAGAUCUAAUCCUAGCCAUAGGUUCUACAUCUGACGGCAGGCGUGUCUUCUCCUAUCUCGAGCACCCCAGGCGGCGGGGCUGGCUUCCCCCGCGGUGGAGCUCGCCCGCGAGCGGCAAUUCUGCCGCCACCGAGCACUAACCCAAAAUUAAACUGGUGAUGCGCGAUGAGCGAUGAAUAGAGAACAUCCUGGAAGACGAAUUACCUUUGGGGGUGAGGUAGGGACCCUGGCCCACGGCGCACCGAAGCUCCGCCGUGGUGGUCGGCCGCCCAUGGUGAAUUCCGGUCUUCCCAAGUGGCAGCCGCAGAAUUGGUGGUCUCCCUAGCUUCGAUUCGACCCGGCGAACAUCAGGGAGGUUCUCCACUAGCGAUCCAUGGCACCAGAACUUGUCCACGGCACCGGUGGUGAACGGGAAGGAGGAGGGAAGGAGCAGUAAGCACGAGCGGGUCGUGGGAGGGGGAUUCAGCGAGGUGCGGCUGGAGGAGUAGUCGUGAGGCGAUUGCGUGGCGGCGCGGUAGCUUCGGCCAUGGGCUAGAAGGUGGCGGCCAUUCUCUCUCUCUCUCUGCUACUUGCAACAAGCACACGGUGCUUCACUGGCGUGGCUUAAGGUUGGCUAUCGGUGUGGCUCAGGGAUGUGAGGUGCGCGCAUAAGUAUCCAGUGGUCAGGGAAGAAUUGGUCCCCCGCAUGCCUCGGCGGGGAGCAACGACCGAUGCGCAAAAUCCGGCCAGCGACCCGGUAACAGAGUCUGAGCAGCGGCGAAUCUGUUGGGUGAAGAAGAUGCGGGCGAGAUGAUGAGGGGUCCACCAGGCAGCGAUUCGAGCGAGUAGUACUGGCCGACCGGUGGGGCUAGUUCGACAGCGCGCCCACGAUGAGAAGAGCCAAGCGUGAGUGCGGGCGUAUUGGUGGGCCGCGCGGGAUUAGGUUUAGUGGGCCGGUUGAGAAUAGGCCCAAGCGUUGGGCAAGGUUAUUUCUCUUUUAUAUUUUCUGUUUCUUCUCUUCUUUUUUUUUAUUUCAAAUUCAAA